CCUCACCUCCCCCGCCCCUCCUCCCUCAGAGCCAGAUUUGGGCGAAAAAGGUGCCAGACACUCGAACCCAUAUAGAGAGUCACUCUGCUGGAGAUGGAGAAGAAGAAAGAAAUAAUGAUGUAAGGAGAUGUGUGUGUGUGUGUGUGUGUGUGUGUGUGCGUGUGCGUGUGCGAGAGCCGGAGUGGUCUUCCAUGUGUCUCGCUCACACAAGUGUUAGCGUGUUAGCUUGUUAGCUUGCCGUUUGGCCCGCGCGGAUUGUCCCCUGACAACCUUGAUGAGUUUCACUCUGCGAGGCGCUAACUAGAGCGCAGAUGCUCGGCCGCGUACGCCACGUUUUGCUCGACGCUCUCUCUCCACUUAACGUUUCAAUGCCUGGAAUGGACCAAUCAGAGGAGGUGAGGGGGGGGGGGGGGGGCGGGUCUCUGAACAAUAUUGCCAAAACAUUUGAUGGUGAUAGAAAUAAAGAAAAAAAAGAUGGUUUGCACCACAGAAGCAAGCUCAUCCGCUGUUACCUUGAUGCCUUUCUGCGCUUCCACAUCGAAGAGGCAAAUACUACUUCUCACCGCUACGCUGAUCCGACAGACUUGGUUACCUUGCAAAUAACAAUUCAAAUCAACAGCCAUCAAAUUACUUAAACAAAAGUAAAAAGGUAUCAAAUUAAUAAAAUAUGUAUUUGAUUGGUAAGCCGUGAUUUAAAGAGAAGGGAGAUUUGCUGACGCAUACUUUUACUUAAAGGGGCGGUUUGUGGGUUUUAGUGGCCUCUGGUGGUGAGUUUGCAGGUUGCAUCCAGCGUGUCAUCCCUUGCUCAUGCCUCCUUUCUAUUAUAUUAUAUUGCAUUUGGAUCAAAACCGGUAAAUGUGCCCUUCAUAUGAGGCUUUGAAUGUUUACUAAAUGUUUGCACUGCGUAGUAGCUUCAGUACAAUUUACAACGCAUCACUGCUAAAGUCUAGUCGCUCUAUUUUUGGACCGUAUCCACUUACAGUACACUCUGUGUAUUGAUCAGGAUGGUUUUAACAGACUGCUGUGAGGUCCAUUAACCUGUGGUGAUGACAAAGCAUUAAAAGACUAAUGUGUCCCUGGAGGGGAGGUGUGGGGAGGGGUAAGAGGAGCAGGACAGCUGAGCAGACAACACCACUCUGCACCGUGAAGUGGUGAUAGCUGUGAAGAUGACGCUCGCAUCAUUUGUGUGUAUUAUGUGGUUAUGCGCAUGCUCUCACCGAUGCUAAAUCAGUAUUUGAUUUUCACUUUCACUGCGCCUCAUCGGCCAUGUGAAAUACAGUUUGCCAUGUUGAGGUCGAGGUCGUUGAUGUUCAUUGGGUCGAGGUGGUUGAAGGUCGUUGAAUCGAGGUGGUUGAUGUUUGUUGGGUCGAGGUGGUUGAUGUUUGUUGGGUCGAGGUGGUUGAAGGUCAUUGAAUCGAGAUGGUUGAUGUUCGUUGGGUCGAGGUGGUUGAUGUUUGUUGGGUCGAGGUGGUUGAUGUUCGUUGGGUCGAGGUGGUUGAUGUUCGUUGGGUCGAGGUGGUUGAAGGUCGUUGAAUCGAGGUGGUUGAUGUUUGUUGGGUCGAGGUGGUUGAUGUUUGUUGGGUCGAGGGGGUUGAAGGUCGUUGGAUGAAGGUGGUUGAAGGUCGUUGGAUGAAGGUGGUUGAAGGUCGUUGGAUGAAGAUGGUUGUGUAGGGCACCGUUGUCCGUGGUGCUGAAACUCAGCAGAUGCACAUAAACAUGCUUCCUUGCGUCUGCUUUGUUAAUUAUUCUUUCAUUAAUAAAGGUUUUCUUUGUAUUUGAAGCAGUAGCCUCUUGUUGACGUCUAACAGCUUUUUGCAUGAUAGAAAUGCCCCUUAGCAGAAUGUUAAGAUGAAGAGGAAAAGAAGAAGAAAAAUAAAGGAAGCACAAAAGUACAACCAUGCGGGUUGUAAGUAGUGUAAAGGAUCAUAAAAGUCACAUAUCACAUCUCAUUGGAUCCGCUCAACGGAACAAAUUAGAGACUUUUAGAGAUCACGUUUGUCUUCAAGGCAAAAAAUUGCAUUCAACCGCUCUGAAGUAUCAAAUAUUAUCAGUAUAAUGUAUUUAUAUUCAGUGUAACGUCUGAUUAUAUGACUUUGUUAUCAUCAACUAAAAGCUGAAUAGACCGUUCUAUUUGAAGAUAAAGAGAAAGAGACUCCUCCACCCAGAGGGGAGAAUAUGAUCAACUUUCUGUAAGUACAGGAGGAAAUCCUGGAGAAAACACGUUCCUCCUCCUCUUCCUCCUCCUCUACUCCCCAGUGUCCUUUCUCCUCUUCCUCCUCUGUCCCGUCUUUGUGUUGUGGCCCCUUUUCAGAGGCUUUUUCAGGGGCUGAAGUGGCGCUCGGCUACGCUGAAGUGUCUCCACUGCUGUGCCCGAGCCUGCAAUUCACCCACUGUGCGUGUGUGUGUGUGUGUCUGUGUCUGUGCACGUGUGUGUGUGCGCGUGCAUGUGUGUGUGUGUGUGUGUGCACGUGUGUCUGUGUGUGUGCCUGAGCCUGCAAUUCACCAAUUUCACCGCUAAUUAGCCAACAAAGGCUACCGGCAGGGAGGAGCUGAGGAGGAGGAGGAUGGAGAGGGGGCGGCAUACGCGGGAGGUCCAGGCCUUAGGGGGGAGG
Gasterosteus aculeatus aculeatus (three-spined stickleback) is the source of this 2612-nucleotide long non-coding RNA. NCBI's taxonomy places the organism in Eukaryota, Metazoa, Chordata, Actinopteri, Perciformes, Gasterosteidae. The record is from Ensembl.